Molecule: long non-coding RNA, 1487 nt
Filed under: Sus scrofa (pig)
Lineage: Eukaryota; Metazoa; Chordata; Mammalia; Artiodactyla; Suidae
Description: lncRNA (ENSSSCG00025073067.1)
Source: RNAcentral
CCAUUAUUGUUGGUUUACAGUGUUCUGUCAGUUUCUACUGUACAGCAAAGUGACUCAGUCAUAUAUAUAUGUUUUUUCUCACAUUAUCCUCCAUCAUGCUCCAUCAUAAGUGACUAGAUAUAGUUCCCUGUGCUAUACAGCAGGAUCUCAUUGCUUAUCCACUCCAAAGGCAAUAGUUUGUAUCUAUUAACCCCAGACUCCCAGUCCAUCCCACUCCCCCAUCUCACUUGGCAACCACAAGUCUGUUCUCCCAGUCCAUGAGUUUCUUUUCUAUGGAAGGGUUCAUUUGUGCCGUAUAUUAGAUUCCAUGAGACCUGAUUUCCAUCUACACAGAGAGAGCUACUAGAUUGUUACACAGCUUCUGACCAAAGAUCUUUCCACCUGUAAGAUCCAGAGCUGAUUUGUACAAGCACAGAAUUUUCACAAGGGUUAAAAGCUCUGUGUGCUAGUAUUUCACGAGGCCUCUGAGGGGCUGGGUCUGGAAGGAAGAUACAGCUCACUCAAGUUUUUGGAACCAUAGUGUUGUGACAUUCAUGUGUUGUUAUGCUGACAAUCAUACUUGGAGACAUCAAAACAUUUGCAUGUUGAGGGGUUGAGACACAGGUUCACAAGCCCAGACAUCACACCCCGAUAGGUUGUGACGUUUGCAUGUUGAGAGAUUGAAACAUAGACACGUUAAGUUUGUUGACAUGUUCACAGGUUGACAUCCACAUGUUGAAAUAUUGAGACGUUCACACGUUGAGGUGUGAAGCUAUUCACUGCUGACACAUUCACAGGGUGACGUAUUGAAACACUCCCAGAUCCAGCUGUUGAGAUCUUCACAUGUUGAAAUGCUGGAACAUCCACAGGUUGAGAUGCACAGACCUUCUCAUUCAUUUGUCUGACUUCAAACAUCAGACGGCUUGAGGCAGGCCCAGGAUAUAGACACUGACUCCUCAGCCAUACCUGACAAACUUCCUUCACCUCUCUUCCUGCAGCAGUGCUAACACGACCUCGGAGGUCUCCGUGGACAGUGUCCACACAUGCCUGGGGCUUCCUGCAGCUCCCUGCCUAAGGAUGCCACCUGGCUCUGGGUGGGUGCGUGACCUCUAUGUGGGCAGGCAAGAAAUGCUGCGGUGCAUACAGCCCAGGAAUGACCCUCAACCAAUGCAGUUGAGGUUUGGGGGCAUAAACACCCUAGUUUCCUCACCUGUCAGUGGCCCAACACUGUCUCCCCGAGGGUCUUCGCCAGAAUUGAGCCCAGUUGUCCACAAUGCUAACAUCCCCUACUGGUGUUUCUUGAGACCACCUCCCAAACGAUCUAUCUGUAUCCAACUCUUUGUUUCUGAUUUUGGUGGGAACCCUAACUAAGCAUCUCCAAAGUACCAGCCCUGUUUCCAAGCAGAUAGUCAGAAAGCAGAAUCAAGAUCUCCAUCCCACCCAAGGGGACUCCUCCUCUUCCACGGGCUACAGGGUUCCCAUCUCCUCACUAUGCACCUGCUGAAGCA